RNAcentral lists this non-coding RNA (123 nucleotides) under Chinchilla lanigera (long-tailed chinchilla). The record is from RNAcentral. Lineage: Eukaryota; Metazoa; Chordata; Mammalia; Rodentia; Chinchillidae.
AUGGGGCAGUAAGGGUAUGAUUAUUAGCACUUUCCUUAAAGAAAAUGAGUUUCUAUGACCUAUGAAACACACAAAUGGUUAAGGAAUUGACACCUACUUCAUGUUAUUUAUCCAUAAUUUUCA